This 253-nucleotide ribosomal RNA is filed under the name uncultured microorganism. RNAcentral's name for it is "partial 16S ribosomal RNA". It matches the Rfam family "Bacterial small subunit ribosomal RNA", at positions 524 to 776 of the family's 1533-position model. The record is from RNAcentral.
UACGUAGGGUGCGAGCGUUAAUCGGAUUUACUGGGCGUAAAGCGUACGUAGGCGGCUUGUUAAGCAAGAUGUGAAAUCCCCGGGCUCAACCUGGGAAUGGCAUUUUGAACUGGCAGGCUCGAGUUCUGAAGAGGGUGGUAGAAUUUCCAGUGUAGCGGUGAAAUGCGUAGAUAUUGGAAGGAAUACCGGUGGCGAAGGCGGCCACCUGGGCUAAUACUGACACUGAGGUGCGAAAGCGUGGGGAGCAAACAGG